RNAcentral lists this ribosomal RNA (299 nucleotides) under Aggregatibacter aphrophilus. RNAcentral's name for it is "partial 23S ribosomal RNA". It matches the Rfam family "Bacterial large subunit ribosomal RNA", at positions 58 to 396 of the family's 2925-position model. Lineage: Bacteria; Pseudomonadati; Pseudomonadota; Gammaproteobacteria; Pasteurellales; Pasteurellaceae. The record is from RNAcentral.
GUGCUAAUCUGCGAAAAGCUUGGAUGAGUCGAUAAGAGGCGUUUAAUCCGAGAUAUCCGAAUGGGGAAACCCAGUGGGUGAAGAACCCACUAUCAUUAUCUGAAUCCAUAGGAUAAUGAGGCGAACCGGGAGAACUGAAACAUCUAAGUACCCCGAGGAAAAGAAAUCAACCGAGAUUUCGUUAGUAGCGGCGAGCGAACGCGAAGGAGCCUGUUAGUGAUAAUGACAGAGACAGAGGAAUGUGCUGGGAAGCGCAGCGACACAGGGUGAUAGCCCCGUACUCGAAGUCUGUGUUAUGG